UUACUUACCUGGCAGGGGAGAUACCGUGAUCAAGAAGGCGGUUCACCCAGGGCGAGGCUCAGCCAUUGCACUCCGGCUGUGACACCUGCGAAUUCCCCAAAUGUGGGAAACUCGACUGCAUAAUUUCUGGUAGUGGGGGACUGCGUUCGCGCUCUAG
Molecule: small nuclear RNA, 157 nt
Gene: U1
Rfam family: U1 spliceosomal RNA
About the family: U1 is a small nuclear RNA (snRNA) component of the spliceosome (involved in pre-mRNA splicing). Its 5' end forms complementary base pairs with the 5' splice junction, thus defining the 5' donor site of an intron.
Source: Ensembl